Molecule: ribosomal RNA, 562 nt
Filed under: uncultured archaeon
Lineage: Archaea
Description: bacterial SSU rRNA
Rfam family: Archaeal small subunit ribosomal RNA
Source: RNAcentral
ACGGGGUGCAGCAGGCGCGAAACCUCCGCAAUGUACGAAAGUGCGACGGGGGGAUCCCAAGUGUCAUGCUUUUUUGUAUGACUUUUCAUUAGUGUAAAAAGCUUUUAGAAUAAGAGCUGGGCAAGACCGGUGCCAGCCGCCGCGGUAACACCGGCAGCUCGAGUGGUAGCUGUUUUUAUUGGGCCUAAAGCGUUCGUAGCCGGUUUGAUAAGUCUUUGGUGAAAGCUUGUAGCUUAACUAUAAGAAUUGCUGGAGAUACUAUCAGACUUGAAGUCGGGAGAGGUUAGAGGUACUACCGGGGUAGGGGUGAAAUCCUAUAAUCCUGGGAGGACCACCUGUGGCGAAGGCGUCUAACAGGAACGAUCUUGACGGUGAGUAACGAAAGCCAGGGGCGCGAACCGGAUUAGAUACCCGGGUAGUCCUGGCCGUAAACGAUGUGGACUUGGUGUUGGAAUGGCUUUGAGUUGUUCCGGUGCCGAAGGGAAGCUUGUUAAGUCCACCCGCCUGGGAAGUACCGGUCGCAAGAACUGAAACCUUAAAGGAAAUUGGCCGGGGGGAGCAC